GCAACCUACCUAUCAGAGGGGAAUAACCCGGCGAAAGUCGGACUAAUACCGCAUAAAACAGGGGCACCGCAUGGUGAUAUUUGUUAAAGAAAUUCGCUGAUAGAUGGGCGUGCGUUCCAUUAGGUAGUUGGUGAGGUAACGGCUCACCAAGCCGACGAUGGAUAGGGAACUGAGAGGUUGGUCCCCCACACUGGUACUGAGACACGGACCAGACUCCGUACGGGAGGCAGCAGUGAGGAAUAUUGGUCAAGUGGGGCGGGAGCCUGAACCAGCCAAGUCGCGUAGGAAGGAAGAAGGAUCUAUGGUUACGUAACUUCUUUGCGAGGGAAUAAAGUGCAGGACGUGUCCUGUUUUGUAUGUACCCUGAGAAUAAGGAUCGGCUAACUCCGUGCCAGCAGCGGC
This 402-nucleotide ribosomal RNA is filed under the name uncultured bacterium. RNAcentral describes it as "bacterial SSU rRNA". It matches the Rfam family "Bacterial small subunit ribosomal RNA", at positions 121 to 518 of the family's 1533-position model. The record is from RNAcentral.